This 446-nucleotide ribosomal RNA is filed under the name uncultured bacterium. RNAcentral describes it as "partial 16S ribosomal RNA". It matches the Rfam family "Bacterial small subunit ribosomal RNA", at positions 338 to 795 of the family's 1533-position model. The record is from RNAcentral.
CCUACGGGUGGCAGCAGUCGAGAAUCAUUCACAAUGGGGGAAACCCUGAUGGUGCGACGCCGCGUGGGGGAAUGAAGUUCUUCGGAUUGUAAACCCCUGUCAUGUGGGAGCAAAUUAAAAAGAUAGUACCACAAGAGGAAGAGACGGCUAACUCUGUGCCAGCAGCCGCGGUAAUACAGAGGUCUCAAGCGUUGUUCGGAAUCACUGGGCGUAAGGCGUGCGUAGGCUGUUUCGUAAGUCGUGUGUGAAAGGCGCGGGCUCAACCCGCGGACGGCACAUGAUACUGCGAGACUAGAGUAAUGGAGGGGGAACCGGAAUUCUCGGUGUAGCAGUGAAAUGCGUAGAUAUCGAGAGGAACACUCGUGGCGAAGGCGGGUUCCUGGACAUUAACUGACGCUGAGGCACGAAGGCCAGGGGAGCGAAAGGGAUUAGAUACCCGUGUAGUC